AACAGGAUUAGAUACCCUGGUAGUCCACGCCGUAAACGAUGUCGACUUGGAGGUUGUGCCCUUGAGGCGUGGCUUCCGGAGCUAACGCGUUAAGUCGACCGCCUGGGGAGUACGGCCGCAAGGUUAAAACUCAAAUGAAUUGACGGGGGCCCGCACAAGCGGUGGAGCAUGUGGUUUAAUUCGAUGCAACGCGAAGAACCUUACCUGGUCUUGACAUCCACGGAAGUUUUCAGAGAUGAGAAUGUGCCUUCGGGAACCGUGAGACAGGUGCUGCAUGGCUGUCGUCAGCUCGUGUUGUGAAAUGUUGGGUUAAGUCCCGCAACGAGCGCAACCCUUAUCCUUUGUUGCCAGCGGUCCGGCCGGGAACUCAAAGGAGACUGCCAGUGAUAAACUGGAGGAAGGUGGGGAUGACGUCAAGUCAUCAUGGCCCUUACGACCAGGGCUACACACGUGCUACAAUGGCGCAUACAAAGAGAAGCGACCUCGCGAGAGCAAGCGGACCUCAUAAAGUGCGUCGUAGUCCGGAUUGGAGUCUGCAACUCGACUCCAUGAAGUCGGAAUCGCUAGUAAUCGUGGAUCAGAAUGCCACGGUGAAUACGUUCCCGGGCCUUGUACACACCGCCCGUCACACCAUGGGAGUGGUUGCAAAAGAAGUAGGUAGCUUAACCUUCGGGAGGGCGCUUACCACUUUGUGAUUCAUGACUGGGGUGAAGUCGUAACAAGGUAACC
RNAcentral lists this ribosomal RNA (729 nucleotides) under uncultured bacterium. RNAcentral describes it as "bacterial SSU rRNA". It matches the Rfam family "Bacterial small subunit ribosomal RNA", at positions 771 to 1501 of the family's 1533-position model. The record is from RNAcentral.